GAUGAUGCAGCCGUGCAGACUACAAAAACAAGGACCUGGCCAGGUGAGAGAGACCCCAGCUCUGUGAGCUCCAGCGACUGUGUUCCUGCAAGCUGGCGGGAUGACAUUCAUGGGGACAAACUGUUUGAUGCAGUCAGACUCAACUCACUGUGUUCAGAGUCAAUCAUCUGGAGACUCCUGGGUUCCGGGGCUACUUGAGUAUCUCUUGGAAGAAGCUGCAGAUCCGGACAAGAAUGAGAUGGGACUGGAAUGGACUCCAAGUUCUCUUCCCACUGGAGGCUCCUGGCUUCUUGGACCAUCUUAGAAAGGCAGCUGGACCAGAUAUCUCCAGGGCCUCUGCACAGCUCUGAGGUCGUAGAGAGUCUAAACUAUGCUGCCAAGAGCUUCUGGUUUCAGUACACUGUGGCUUGAGAAUGCACCGACAUGAAAUUGCUAGGAUUUGGAGCUUGCCCUGGCAAUGCAGCUGCUGCCUGUGCUUGCCUGAGCUGCCCGAGGCGCAGCCUGUAAAUCCCAGUACUUGGGAGGCUGAGACAGGAGGACAUAGCAA
Molecule: long non-coding RNA, 547 nt
Organism: Mesocricetus auratus (golden hamster)
Lineage: Eukaryota; Metazoa; Chordata; Mammalia; Rodentia; Cricetidae
Exons: 3
Source: RefSeq, a predicted model, not a curated record